Molecule: unclassified non-coding RNA, 232 nt
Filed under: Hevea brasiliensis (rubber tree)
Lineage: Eukaryota; Viridiplantae; Streptophyta; Magnoliopsida; Malpighiales; Euphorbiaceae
Source: RNAcentral
GAGAGAGAGAGAGAAAGAGAGCCCUCAUCAGUUCACCAGAGCUGAGCUUAUCUAAUUAAAAAUAGGGAGAAAAAAAUAAUUAACUAAAAAAUUAUAAUAAAAUUUCCGAAAUUUUCCUAAGCUUUCUCGAGAACCAAACAGAUAGUAAAUGAGGAAAGUAAAGCAAACUUAAAAAAAAAAAUGUAAUAAAAAAUACUUAUAAAAAAAACCUCAUUAUCGGCAGCGAAGAAAC